Molecule: long non-coding RNA, 522 nt
Organism: Dreissena polymorpha
Lineage: Eukaryota; Metazoa; Mollusca; Bivalvia; Myida; Dreissenidae
Exons: 3
Source: RefSeq, a predicted model, not a curated record
CAGAUUCGGAAGAAACUUUGCCGCCAUCUGACAAAGAAACACAGCCACCUCUGGAGGAAUGUGGUCAGGAAGUUGAAUGGUCUCAGUCACCAUUAGGAUAUUUUGAUUAUUAUUUUUAUAUUCCAUUCUAUGGUGAUCGGAGACUAAGAAAACAGUGUAGACAAAUGAGCGUGCAGUUCAGGAGGGGGAAGUUCUAAAUAACUCGUAUACAGCACUGUUGCAGCCAAUCAGGUUUCCUUCUCUGUGUGAAAUGUUUAAUAUAUGUAAAAUAUGUUUAUGCAAUCUUUAAUUUUGUCAUAUAAACAAAUAUAUAGUACUUUUUAAUGUGGGGUUAGAUUUUCUUUUAAAAAUGUAUAUCCAUUUAUUACCUGCCCUGAAUUUUGCAAUUUUUAUUCUAUAUUAAAACAUUUACUCUUUUACAUAUAGGGUACAAUGUGUAUAAUUUCUGAUUAGUAUUCACUAAUUAUUUAAGAAAAUGUAUAAUUUGCCAUUGAUUAUGGUGACAUUAAAAAUAUGUGGUGG